RNAcentral lists this ribosomal RNA (462 nucleotides) under Porphyromonas sp. oral taxon 279. RNAcentral's name for it is "bacterial SSU rRNA". It matches the Rfam family "Bacterial small subunit ribosomal RNA", at positions 28 to 479 of the family's 1533-position model. Lineage: Bacteria; Pseudomonadati; Bacteroidota; Bacteroidia; Bacteroidales; Porphyromonadaceae. The record is from RNAcentral.
GAUGAACGCUAGCGAUAGGCUUAACACAUGCAAGUCGAGGGGCAGCAUGGUCUUAGCUUGCUAAGACUGAUGGCGACCGGCGCACGGGUGCGUAACGCGUAUGCAACUUGCCUCACAGAGGGGGAUAACCCGUCGAAAGACGGACUAAUACCGCGUACACUCCACUUUGGGCAUCCAAAGUAGAGGAAAUGAAAUUCGCUGUGAGAUAGGCAUGCGUCCCAUUAGCUAGUUGGUGAGGUAACGGCUCACCAAGGCGACGAUGGGUAGGGGAACUGAGAGGUUGAACCCCCACACUGGUACUGAGACACGGACCAGACUCCUACGGGAGGCAGCAGUGAGGAAUAUUGGUCAAUGGGCGAGAGCCUGAACCAGCCAAGUCGCGUGAAGGAUGACUGUCUUAUGGAUUGUAAACUUCUUUUAUACGGGAAUAACAAGAGCCACGUGUGGCUCCCUGCAUGUACC